This is a long non-coding RNA of Astatotilapia calliptera (eastern happy), 2142 nucleotides long. The record is from Ensembl. NCBI's taxonomy places the organism in Eukaryota, Metazoa, Chordata, Actinopteri, Cichliformes, Cichlidae.
CACACCUCCUAUGCGUAUUUAGGCUGUGUGUUUCAUUCAGUCUUCGUCAGGACGUCUGUUUUCAUCCCUUCAUGUUACGUCAAACGUUCAGGUCCUUCAUGAUUCAGUUCAGGUCAUGCUCAUGUUUCAUGUUAAUGUGUUUUCCCACAGUUUCCCGCAUGCUCCUGCUCUGAAUCAUGCUCAUGUCUUUUCAUAGUAAUCAUAGUCUAGUUUUUCCCAGUUUAGGUUUUAGUUUUAGUUUUUGCCAUUCAUUUUGGCCUUUUUUUGUUUUCAUGUUUUUCGAACAACAAACGACUCACUUUUUGUUUAAACGUAGUUCCUUCUUCUCUUGUGUUCUGCAUUUGGGUCCUCCUUCUCACUCCCACACAGUCUGGGGAAGACUGUGACACCUGUUUCAAAGCUGCAACUAAAUUAAAUUUUCAACCAUUCCAAGAGUCACAAUCAAAAGUUGGAGUUUUACUGUGCAAACUAUGAUAUGCUAAGAGUAUAAAAAUCAGCCUCAUUUGUCUUCCUCGUUGAUCAAAAGCACAUUUAGGCUUAGUUUGGAAGAUACCAUCAUCGUGCAGUACUAGCCGAACAAUCUGAAAUAAUUAAUGUAGUGUAUUCAUUGAGUUUUUUUUUUUUUACUUUAUUUCUGGAGGAUCCCAUAAUGUACAGGAGAGAUAACAGCCCUGAAAUCUUAUAUGUUGCUGACUGACUACAGUAUGUUUCUAUUUUAUAAUUGCUUUGUAAAACUGCAAGUGAUGUGGAUAUUUUUAUACACACUGCAAAGUAGUAAUAAUGUCACAAACACAGGAUUUCCAGAUUCUUUUCUCUAGCAUUCACAUUGGCACACAAAUCAAAGCGGAGGAUUCUUCACAUAACUUUCCAAAAAUAUGUAGUCAGAACAGAAGAAAAUAUCAUUCAUCAAGCUUCUUGAUGGUCUUUAAUCUAAAGAAGUGCAAACAUAAGAUCUUCUAUUAGGGAUAACAAGACAGCAGCAAUACAACAGCUACUUGUAUGAUUUUGUGUGCAGAUUUUUUGUGUGUGAAGAUGCGGCUGUUCUGUGUCCUGUGUCUGGGUUAGGGUUAGUCUGCUGAGAUGCUUUCACGCCAGACUCAGUGGUAGGGUUCUCAUCAGCCUGACUCACCAAGUUUGAUAUUUGAUAACAGAGCGGUGAACAUGUAGUUGUUUGCCUUACUCACCCACCUUUUGAAAUUCUGGUGAGCUGUGGUCAAACCAAAGUAGCGAAUGGCACAUUAUGUAAAGCCUACAUUACGCUGCUGUAAUUACUGGUCUCGUCAGCCCAUGACCUGGACUAUCAUGUUGCAAGUGAUGGUUAGUCACAGGUUUGGUUAAGGUUUUACGUAAAUGUCAUGAUUCAGUGUGCGUCAUUAGGAAGCACAAUCAAAGACACUGACCUGUUGUAGUGGUUGUCUAAGUGUAUGUAAGAUAGGUAUUUAGAUGCAGAUGUGGCAGACCCUGAGUUAUUUUCAUAUUUGACUUUAAGCCUCCAUUUUUGUCUGUACAUCAAGCUAUUUUCUUGUCACAUUUGGUUUUUUUUUUUUUUUUUUUUUUUGUGGUGUUCAGGAUUAUAUCACAUAAACUGUUACCUUUCCUGAACUCAUCCAUAUGACUCCAAGGCUGCCAAUUACUAUAACCCUCUCAGAAAGCACAUGUUAUUUGAAAUUCAUGUUAUUUAUAUACAAUUCAUUUGCACAAAUGAUGGUGAAAAGCAUACUCUGUUUCAUCAUCUUUUUGGUUCCGAUGGGAACCAUAAAUUACAAAAUGAAUACACGCGUCUUCCAUAUGACUGAAUCUAAUGAUCGAGAUCAUGAACUCAUCAGAAAGGUGUUUAAUUGGAUCACAGAUCAAAUGUCCUGAUACCUAGCUUCACUUUUUCAGAAGUGGCAGUCCAUCAUUUAUAACUAGUUUAUGUUUCCUGUGUAUUUUGGUGUAUUUUUCCCUUUUGUUGUUAAUCGACCGUCGACUGAAACCAGCAGAGAAUUUUUUUUUGAAUAGCUGUGAAGGAUAAUGAGAUUCCUGUCCUUUUCUGUGUUUGCAAAUUCUUUUAUAAUAACCUCUUUCACAGACGCAUGUUUUAUGAAUAAUUUUAGAAAUAUGUGCGCUUUGUUGAAAAAUGUGUUGCUUGUUUUAGGGAAA